GUGAACGCUAGUGAUAUGCUUAACACAUGCAAGUUUAAAUUGAUACUUUUUAAAAAGUAUUGAUAGCGUACGGGUGUAUAAUACAUAAGAAUCUACUUUAUAUUUUGGGACUUUAAACCCAAUAGAGUUAUAUUAAAAAUAUAAUUUGAAAAUUUAUAUUGAUAUAAAAUGAGCUUAUGGAGAAUUAGAUAAUGAGUGAGGUAAAAGCUUACUUAGUCUAUGAUUCUUAGCUGAUCUUAGCGGAUGAUCAGCCACAUUGGGACUGAAACAUGGCCCAACCUCUCUUUGGAGGCAGCAGUGAGGAAUAUUGGACAAUGAACGAAAGUUUGAUCCAGCAAUAUCACGUGAAUGAUGAAAGUUUAUUCUUAUUGUAAAGUUCUUUCGAUGAGGAGGAUAAUGACGUUACUCAUAAAAGAAGUCCCGACCAACCUCGU
RNAcentral lists this ribosomal RNA (434 nucleotides) under uncultured bacterium. RNAcentral describes it as "partial 16S ribosomal RNA". It matches the Rfam family "Bacterial small subunit ribosomal RNA", at positions 29 to 506 of the family's 1533-position model. The record is from RNAcentral.